AGCUGGAAAGGUUCAGGGGAAAAGCAGCAAGAGAUGGGAUGGGCAGACCUUGGCUGCUGAUGAGAGAGCCCCUUAGCGGGACCCCAGAGUAGAGGGCAGGUUCCCUUAGCAGCCACUGGGGAAGUGAUACUGACCAGACAGUGGAGAGUGGACUGCCUGGGACAGUUUGCCUUGGAAGAUUUUAAUACCCCGGAAGAGGAGGAUUAUAGUGACCUGACCAGAAGGCCAAGUCACAAACAGGAAUCUGCAUUCCUGGAGCAAGAGGGGCUGCAGGGUGAGAGAAGAAGAUGGAUGGAUGGAGAGAGCACCAGAGGAGGGUGCAGCACCUGCAGGGAACUAAUCCCCAAACUGCCUGGAGGAGGCAGUCUAGCAGUGAGUGGUCCCCAUGACAGGAUCAGUCAAAUCUUCUGGUUGUUUCCUGUGACUCUUUUCUAUUGCUGCUAUUUCUACAGCUCUUUUGGUUACUGGUGGAACCUGGACAUGGAAUAAAACUCUCUGAACAUUUCAUAGCCAUAAGAUAAAGGUUGGGUCCAAAUUAAAUUCCAAAGCAAUGGAUACUGACUGUCUAGAAUGCAUAGUUACGCCUGACAGACCACUGGGCUGAUAACAUCAUUAUAAACUCAGUGAUGUAACAUCCACAUCAGAAGAAUGUAGAAAACCUUUGGCUGCUAAAGCACAGUUCCGCAGAGCUAGUGUAAUCUGAUCACAGAGAGUAUAGAUGUAAAGCUCCUUUCUACCACGCCCUUGCAACUAGGACCAAAUCUGGUCCCAACAACAUCAAUGGGAGUUUUGCCAUUGAUUUCACUGUGCCAGGACUUCACACCCAGUGUUCAGUGGGAGUUUAACCUGAGAAAGAUUGCAGGAUUUUACCAUAUUUGAACAAUUUUAUUGGAUGAUGCCUCAGUGAAUGUGUGUGGGAAAGCUGUUCCAAUGUUUAAUUACUUCAACCCUUGGGAAGUUUCUUUUGAUAUCUGACAUAACCUUCACUUUCUUUACUUUAAUGAAACAAAUUACUUGCUAAAAUAGUAUUGAAUAUUUUUAAAUAAUUUUGGACUAAUUGGUUU
This is a long non-coding RNA of Mauremys reevesii (Reeves's turtle), 1064 nucleotides long. RefSeq lists it as uncharacterized. The record is from RefSeq and is a predicted model, not a curated record. Lineage: Eukaryota; Metazoa; Chordata; Testudines; Geoemydidae. The transcript is spliced from 3 exons.